This 459-nucleotide ribosomal RNA is filed under the name uncultured bacterium. RNAcentral's name for it is "partial 16S ribosomal RNA". It matches the Rfam family "Bacterial small subunit ribosomal RNA", at positions 338 to 795 of the family's 1533-position model. The record is from RNAcentral.
CCUACGGGUCGCAGCAGUGAGGCAUAUUGGUCAAUGGGCGCGAGCCUGAACCAGCCAAGUCGCGUGAGGGAAGACGGUCCUAUGGAUUGUAAACCUCUUUUGUCGGGGAGCAAAAGACGCCACGCGUGGCGUUCCGAGCGUACCCGAAGAAAAAGCAUCGGCUAACGCCGUGCCAGCAGCCGCGUUAAUACGGAGGAUGCGAGCGUUAUCCGGAUGUAUUGGGUUUAAAGGGGGCGCAGGCGGAAGAGCAAGUCAGCGGUAAAAUUGGGAGGCUCAACCUCUUCGAGCCGUUGAAACUGGCUGUCUUGAGAUGUCGAGAGGUAUGCGGAAUGCGCAGUGUAGCGGUGAAAUGCUUAGAUAUUGCGCAGAACUCCGAUUGCGAAGGCAGCAUACCGGCGGCGAUCUGACGCUGAGGCACGAAAGCGUGGGUAUCGAACAGGAUUAGAUACCCGGGUAGUC